GGGUUAGUAGGUUGGUCAUGCAUCUGGUAUGCACUGGUCUCACUGAUUCCUCCUUCCUGAUGAGCCGUAAUGCCAUUAAUUUGGUGUUGCGGGGGAUUUGGACUGUUACUUUGAAAAAAUUAGAGUGCUUAAAGCAAGCUAACGCUUGAAUACAUUAGCAUGGAAUAAUGAAAUAGGACGUUCGAUCCUAUUUUGUUGGUUUCUAGGAUCACCGUA
This 216-nucleotide ribosomal RNA is filed under the name Campeiostachys nutans. RNAcentral's name for it is "Elymus nutans partial small subunit ribosomal RNA". The stretch from base 40 to 216 matches the Rfam family "Eukaryotic small subunit ribosomal RNA", at positions 686 to 864 of the family's 1831-position model. The record is from RNAcentral. Lineage: Eukaryota; Viridiplantae; Streptophyta; Magnoliopsida; Poales; Poaceae.